UAAAGCUUUUGCGGUUUGGGAUGGGCCUGCGUCCUAUCAGGUAGUUGGUGAGGUAAGUGCUCACCAAGCCUAUGACGGGCAGCUGGUCUGAGAGGAUGGUCAGCCAGACUGGGACUGCGACACGGGCCAGACUCCUACGGGAGGCAGCAACUAGGAAUCGUGCGCAAUGGACGAAAGUCUGACGCCGCGACAUCGCGUGGAGGAUGAAGGUCUUCGGAUUGUAAACUCCUUUUCUUACCGAACAAGUUCUGAGUGUAGGUAAGGAAUAAGUGCCUGCUAACCACGUGCCAGAAGCAUCGGUAAUACGUGGGAGACGAGCGUAAUCCGGAUUUACUGGGCGUAAAGAGAAGCGUAGGCGGAUCGAUCAGUAUGGUGUAAAAUCUUCCGGCUCAACCGGAAACAAGUACCGAAGACUAUCGAGAUAGAGUCGAGUCGGGAAGAGGGGAAUCCCUGGUGGAGCGGUAAACUGCGUAGAUAUCAAGAGGAAUACCAAGGGCGAAGGCACCUCCUUGGACUCGUACUGACGCUGAGGCUCGGAAAGCGUGGGUAGCAAAUCGGAUUAGAUACCCGUGUAGUCCACGCCGUAAACGAUCCCUGUUAGAUGUAUGUUUUGU
This 614-nucleotide ribosomal RNA is filed under the name uncultured organism. Its description in RNAcentral is "bacterial SSU rRNA". It matches the Rfam family "Bacterial small subunit ribosomal RNA", at positions 202 to 832 of the family's 1533-position model. The record is from RNAcentral.